RNAcentral lists this ribosomal RNA (466 nucleotides) under uncultured bacterium. Its description in RNAcentral is "partial 16S ribosomal RNA". It matches the Rfam family "Bacterial small subunit ribosomal RNA", at positions 339 to 795 of the family's 1533-position model. The record is from RNAcentral.
CUACGGGUCGCUGCAGUCGAGAAUAGUCUACAAUGGACGAAAGUCUGAUAGUGCGACGCCGCGUGGAUGAAGAAGCAUUUCGGUGUGUAAAGUCCUUUUCUGUGUGAGCAAUGUUUUCCAGGUUAAUAGCUUGGAGAAAGCGAUAUUAACACAGGAAUAAGCUCCGGCUAACUCCGUGCCAGCAGCCGCGGUAACACGGGGGGAGCAAGCGUUGUCCGGAAUUACUAGGCGUAAAGGGUAAGUAGGCGGAAUUGUAAGUCAGAUGUUAAAGGCACCGGCUCAACCGGUGUAUGGCAUUGGAUACUGUAAUUCUAGAGUAAGGGGGGGGAAGACGGAAUUCCUGGUGUAGCGGUGGAAUGCGCAGAUAUCAGGAGGAACACCAGAGGCGCAGGCGGUCUUCUAUACCAUUACUGACGCUCAAUUGCGAAGGUGUGGGUAUCAAACAGGAUUAGAUACCCUGGUAGUC